UUUUUUUUCUUUUCUUUUUCUUUUUAUUGUAGAUAGUUAAGUUAAGAGUGGUGGUGGGUGGUGAGAGUUUUGAAUUUAUUAAAAGUAGGAAUUUAUUGAAUAUAUUUCAAUUAUUAUUUAUUUUGAUCUGAUUAUCUAAUUUUUAAAAAUUUUAGUUUUGAUAUAUAAUUUUUUAGAUAGUUAAGAGUUGGUGGUGUUGGCUUAAAGAGGUCAGUAUUCUAUCCUGCGGCAAAAGAUCAGGUUGAGUCGAGUCACGUUCGAAAUAAAGGGAGGUCAGGUUGGGCCCAGUCCUGUUCGAAGUGGGCGUGAGACUAGUUGGGUCGAGUAACAAUCGAAGCUCGUAAACGUUGUAUCUAUACACUUUAAAUGAAUUUGUUGUAUUUUUAUAACAGUUCGAACUUAUGGAAUUAACGACCAGCACUAAUGAUCCGACAGGUAGGUGGUGAGAGUUUUAAAUUUAUAGAUGAUAAAAAGUUAUCGAAUUUGCUUCAAUUAUCAUCCAUUUUGAUCUGAUUAUCUAAUAUUUAAAAAUUUUAGUUUUAAUGUUGAAUCUUUUUAGAUAGUUGAGAGAGGGUGGGUGGUGAGAGUUUUGAAUUUAUAAAAGCUAAAACUUU
Molecule: long non-coding RNA, 614 nt
Filed under: Ananas comosus (pineapple)
Lineage: Eukaryota; Viridiplantae; Streptophyta; Magnoliopsida; Poales; Bromeliaceae
Description: long non-coding RNA (ACOM_LNC028820)
Source: RNAcentral